AGUGAACGCUGGCGGUAGGCCUAACACAUGCGAGUCGAACGGCAGCACAGUAAGAGCUUGCUCUUACGGGUGGCGAGUGGCGGACGGGUGCGGAAUACAUCGGAAUCUACUUUUUCGUGGGGGAUAACGUAGGGAAACUUACGCUAAUACCGCAUACGACCUACGGGUGAAAGUAGGGGAUCUUCGGACCUUGCGCGAUUGAAUGAGCCGAGGUCGGCUUAGCUAGUUGGCGGGGUAAAGGCCCACCAAGGCGACGAUCCGUAGCUGGUCUGAGAGGAUGAUCAGACACACUGGAACCGAGGCACGUUCCAGACUCCUGCGGGAGGCAGCAGUGGGGAAUAUUGGACGAUGGGCGCAAGCCUGAUCCAGCCAUACCGCGUGGGUGAAGAAGGCCUUCGGGUUGUAAAGCCCUUUUGUUGGGAAAGAAAAGCAGCAGGUUAAUACCCCGCUGUUCUGACGGUACCCAAAGAAUAAGCACCGGCUAACUUCGUG
This 492-nucleotide ribosomal RNA is filed under the name uncultured bacterium. RNAcentral describes it as "partial 16S ribosomal RNA". It matches the Rfam family "Bacterial small subunit ribosomal RNA", at positions 29 to 507 of the family's 1533-position model. The record is from RNAcentral.